This 492-nucleotide ribosomal RNA is filed under the name uncultured bacterium. RNAcentral describes it as "partial 16S ribosomal RNA". It matches the Rfam family "Bacterial small subunit ribosomal RNA", at positions 29 to 507 of the family's 1533-position model. The record is from RNAcentral.
AUUGAACGCUGGCGGCAUGCUUUACACAUGCAAGUCGAACGGUAACAGGCCUUCGGGUGCUGACGAGUGGCGAACGGGUGAGUAAUGCAUCGGAACGUACCCAGAGGUGGGGGAUAACGCAGCGAAAGCUGUGCUAAUACCGCAUGUGAUCUGAGGAUGAAAGCGGGGGACCGAGCAGCAAUGUUUGGCCUCGCGCCUUUGGAGCGGCCGAUGUCGGAUUAGCUAGUUGGUGGGGUAAAGGCCUACCAAGGCGACGAUCCGUAGCUGGUCUGAGAGGACGACCAGCCACACUGGGACUGAGACACGGCGCAGACUCCUACGGGAGGCAGCAGUGGGGAAUUUUGGACAAUGGGCGCAAGCCUGAUCCAGCAAUGCCGCGUGCGGGAAGAAGGCCUUCGGGUUGUAAACCGCUUUUGGCAGGAACGAAACGGUGUCCGCUAAUACCGGGCGCUAAUGACGGUACCUGCAGAAUAAGCACCGGCUAGCUACGUG